RNAcentral lists this small RNA (579 nucleotides) under Homo sapiens (human). RNAcentral's name for it is "cytochrome P450 family 21 subfamily A member 2 (ENSG00000198457.13)". The record is from RNAcentral. Lineage: Eukaryota; Metazoa; Chordata; Mammalia; Primates; Hominidae.
GUCUCGCCAUGCUGCUCCUGGGCCUGCUGCUGCUGCCCCUGCUGGCUGGCGCCCGCCUGCUGUGGAACUGGUGGAAGCUCCGGAGCCUCCACCUCCCGCCUCUUGCCCCGGGCUUCUUGCACUUGCUGCAGCCCGACCUCCCAAUCUAUCUGCUUGGCCUGACUCAGAAAUUCGGGCCCAUCUACAGGCUCCACCUUGGGCUGCAAGAUGUGGUGGUGCUGAACUCCAAGAGGACCAUUGAGGAAGCCAUGGUCAAAAAGUGGGCAGACUUUGCUGGCAGACCUGAGCCACUUACCUCCCCCAACUCCUCCUGCAGACAAGCUGGUGUCUAAGAACUACCCGGACCUGUCCUUGGGAGACUACUCCCUGCUCUGGAAAGCCCACAAGAAGCUCACCCGCUCAGCCCUGCUGCUGGGCAUCCGUGACUCCAUGGAGCCAGUGGUGGAGCAGCUGACCCAGGAGUUCUGUGAGCGCAUGAGAGCCCAGCCCGGCACCCCUGUGGCCAUUGAGGAGGAAUUCUCUCUCCUCACCUGCAGCAUCAUCUGUUACCUCACCUUCGGAGACAAGAUCAAGGACGAC